This 747-nucleotide ribosomal RNA is filed under the name Triticum aestivum (bread wheat). RNAcentral describes it as "partial small subunit ribosomal RNA". The record is from RNAcentral. Lineage: Eukaryota; Viridiplantae; Streptophyta; Magnoliopsida; Poales; Poaceae.
AUGGAGGAGAGGCUGAAACUAAGUCGCGACAGCACGACGGAGGAAGUGGAUGCUACGCAGUACCGACGCCUUGUGGGGAGCCUUCGCUACCUCACUCACACACGGCCGGACUUGGCAUUCUCCGUCGGCUAUGUCAGUCGGUUCAUGGAGCGACCAACGUCGGAACACCAGCAGGCAGUGAAGAGGAUCGUCCGCUACAUAGCAGGGACCCUCGACCACGGCCUCCACUACCCUAGGUGUCCUGGGGCGGCACACUUCGUCGGGUACAGCGACAGCGACCACGCCGGCGACAUCGACACCAGCAAGAGCACGAGCGGGAUCCUCCUCUUCCUCGGCAAGUGUCUCGUGAGCUGGCAAUCAGUCAAGCAGCAGGUGGUGGCCCUGUCCAGCUGUGAGGCUGAGUACAUAGCGGCCUCCACCGCCUGUACUCAGGCGCUCUGGCUUGCUCGACUACUUGGUGAUCUUCUCGUUCAAGACACCAGAACGGUGCAGCUCCUGGUGGACAGCAAGUCCGCCCUGGCCCUGGCAAAGAACCCCGUGUUCCACGAACGGAGCAAGCACAUCCGACUGAGGUAUCACUUCAUCCGCAGCUGUGUGGAAGAAGGGAGCAUCGAGGCGAGCUACAUCAACACCAAGGAUCAGCUCGCAGACCUGCUCACCAAGCCCCUUGGGAGGGUCAAGUUCCUCGAACUUUGCUCCAGGAUUGGGAUGAUUCAACUCUCCCACAAGACGACGUACAAGACUUAG